RNAcentral lists this unclassified non-coding RNA (410 nucleotides) under Haliotis rufescens (red abalone). RNAcentral's name for it is "uncharacterized LOC125373362, transcript variant X3". The record is from RNAcentral. Lineage: Eukaryota; Metazoa; Mollusca; Gastropoda; Lepetellida; Haliotidae.
ACAAGUACAAUACAAAUCACGGGAAGAAGUGACAAUGAGUAUAUGGAGUAAAAAUUGCAUGAAGAAAUCAAUGAGGUGAGAAUGCUGACUGAGAAAGGUUAUGUAUAGAUCACCAUUUCACCUGUUUGGUACAGUUUUCUCCAGUCUAUUGUGUGUUAGCCAAGCCCCGUGCGUAUAGAUUUACGAUGUACAACCACGCAGGGUCCUGAAGUUACUUCCUGGUUGAUAACCUGAACGUGGAAGACUGACAUGCUCGCACUACAAAUUAAAAUGGACUUGUGGAGUUUGAUCGCCAGUUUGUUCUCCAUUCUGCAUACAGUUCAUACAGACACAACACGAACCAGCAGAGCAUGCUAUGGAACCCACACACUUCCCUGUACUACACAUUACAUCAACUGUAACAGUACCGG